CAUUAGUACAUAUUAUUCUAUUGAACAGAAAGGUUGGUGGAAUGAUCAAUUGUUUUCUAAAAUAUUUUUUUAUGAUAAAUAAGUCAAUACAGAAUGAUAAUAUGACUACAAAUAUAAUAUAUAUGUCUUUUAAUUAAUGUGUUUAAAUAUAUGAUAACAAAAAUCAACUAAUAAAACAGAAAAAUAAAUUAUGAUCAAUAAUAUAAAAUAUGAAAAAUGUUCACUUUCUGAAGAUGAAGAUCAAAUACUUACGAAAAAGCAAAAACAGAAAUCCGGAUUGUUGAAAAGCAGAAACAACGUAAACAUGAACGAUAGAGUAAUGCACUAUUUAAUAACUAAAAAUAAUGAACACCUGAGUAGUACCGGUGUAUCAGGGAAAGUUACGGUAUUAUUAAUAUUUCCAUUAAUGGUUUUGAUUUUUUUACUUCUUAUGAUAUAUUUAUAAAUUUUCUAUUUUAAAAUGUAAUUAUUACCUACUUAUUUUAUUUAUCAUCAUUACCUAUUCAUGUAACCCUUAGAUUUCUGUAAAUAUUAAAUUUAUGAUUUAUUUAAUUUAAUAUUAUAUUAUAAUGUAUUGAUGUGUAUUUUUUAAUUUUACCAAUUUUAUUAUAUCAAUUAAUCGUUUUAUUUAUAAGUAAUUUCAAUUUAUGAAUAAAUUUCAAACUCAAUUGGAUGCCUCAAA
Long non-coding RNA from Rhopalosiphum padi (bird cherry-oat aphid), 682 nucleotides. RefSeq lists it as uncharacterized. The record is from RefSeq and is a predicted model, not a curated record. NCBI's taxonomy places the organism in Eukaryota, Metazoa, Arthropoda, Insecta, Hemiptera, Aphididae. The transcript has 3 exons.